Molecule: non-coding RNA, 1671 nt
Filed under: Pongo abelii (Sumatran orangutan)
Lineage: Eukaryota; Metazoa; Chordata; Mammalia; Primates; Hominidae
Source: RNAcentral
AGAAAUGCUGUAGCAUAAUAAAGGGAGCAGAUGAAUGACUGAAGCCCUACAGCUCCACGAAAGAUUAGAGUAAAAUCUGCACUUCAAAAGAUCCUGUAUUCUUGCAAGAGAACAGAGCUCCUGAUCACCUGUGUGCGUCCUUUGAGUGGAUGGCAGCCGCAUCUCUGCAUUACGGCUAGUUAGAAUGAUGAGUCCUUGCUAUGCCUCAAGCACUGUUUCGAGUGUUUGAUGUCUAUUAUCUCACUUCAUCCUCACCAUGACCCCAUCCGAGGAUUUGUGACUUGAGUAGCGUUGACAGUGGCGAUGGGGAACCUGGCAAGACAGCAGAUGUCUACAGCAAGAGGAGGGAAUGGGAAGCUGCUCUGAUGGCAUAAUCAUCAAGGUUGCUGAUAAAAUGGCCUUAAUUUCAGUUGACAGUAACUAUUGGAUCCCCAGGAAUAUGUCUGCAUAUUUGGGGAGAAAAUACUAUUGGAGGGGAACAGAAAUGCUACUAAGGGUCUCACUCUGUCACCCAGGCUGGAGUCCAUCAAAACUCACUGCAGCCUUAGCCUUCUGUGCUCAAGGGAUCCUCCCACUUAAGCCUCCUGAGUAGCUGGUGGCAUAUGCCACCGAGCCUGGCUAAUCUUUGAUUUUUUUGUACAGAUUGUGUCUCCUUAUGUUGCUCAGGCUGGACUCAAACUUCUGGUCUCAAGUGAUCCUUCCAUCUUAGCUUCCCAAAUUGUUGGAAUUACAGGCAUGAGCCAGUGCGCUUGGCCUGCAUAUAUUAGCUCUGAAAAACUUUGGAAGACUUCUUACUUCACUGAAAGUGGGGUUUAUCAACUCAGCUGCCAACGGCUUUCCUCCCAUUUAGCCUUUGUGUGAAAAACACAAUUAAUACUUUCUUAAGUAGUAAAAACUGAGCCAAGAAACCAUCUUUCAGAGUAAAUUCUUGCCUUGGGUGGAAGGCUGGAUGUUAUUAACUUUCACGAUUUCUUUCAACACUUGAUUUUCCUCAAUCACGUUAAAGACAUAUUAUUUAUUUUUCUUUUUAGUUGGGAAAGUUGGUUCAUGUGACUUUUGCAUUUUGUAGAAUUUUUAAGAGGUAAGAUGAAAAUUAAACAUUUCUGCGUGUUAAGGAUCCAUGUUUCUCUGUCAGAUGUCUGGUAAUUUGCUUGACGAUUUUUGCAAAGAUAAUUUAGAAAUUAAGGAAACCAUUCUCUAUGUUUUCUUUGCAUUAAAAGAAAAAAAGUCUUCAAUAAAAAAUUUCUCUAUCCACAUCACAGGUUAAUUUACAAUUUGAGCUGCUGGUGGCUGGCUUGAGGCCUCAAUGUUAAAAAUGAGAAUGAGGCUAAUUCUAGUGAAUAGAGGUCCACACAGACAAUUGCUAUCUUUGUUAGAUGCUCCAGUACCAAGCCUAAGAAUAGGAAAAAAACUAAAAACACCCUGGAAAUGUAACAGAAUCAUCUUUUGCUGCCAUCUUUCUCUUCAGUAUAAGCUGAGCAUGUGUUUGAUACAUAGGGGUGUGGGAACCAUAUACUUUCUUCUGACUUUCCUUCAGUAAAGGAGCUUAAUUCCAUUAAGCAUUGUUCAAGAUAGUAUAUUAAAAAUUAACAUAAAAGAUAAAAGAUUUUAAUGCCUUUUAAUAUAAGGAAAAUUGAUUUUAUUAAAAUGCUUUAAGAUACUACAAUACAA